GUUGUGGCUCAGUAGUUGAGUGCUCACCUAGCAUGCAUGAGGUACUGGGUUCGAUCCUCAGUGCCACA
RNAcentral lists this transfer RNA (68 nucleotides) under Marmota monax (woodchuck). RNAcentral's name for it is "tRNA.Ala". Lineage: Eukaryota; Metazoa; Chordata; Mammalia; Rodentia; Sciuridae. The record is from RNAcentral.